Molecule: non-coding RNA, 74 nt
Organism: Pseudoloma neurophilia
Lineage: Eukaryota; Fungi; Microsporidia
Source: Rfam
GCUUCCAUAGCUCAGCCGGUCAGAGCGUCGUGCUAAUAACGCGAAGGCCGUGGGUUCGAUCCCCACUGGAAGCA